RNAcentral lists this long non-coding RNA (1576 nucleotides) under Anneissia japonica. RNAcentral describes it as "uncharacterized LOC117120484". Lineage: Eukaryota; Metazoa; Echinodermata; Crinoidea; Comatulida; Comatulidae. The record is from RNAcentral.
GGGAUAGGGUCACGUGUUGGAACAAAAAACUAUUUCUCAACGAUUCAAUGAACAUUGUUGACUGUAUACUGACUGAUGUCCAGUAAUUCCAUUCAAUAUCUGGAUAGUUAAAAUCCCCCAUUAUUAAAAUAUGACUGAAGUCGAUAUUGUUAAUGUUACUCAGUAGGUUCUGUAGUUUUAAGUUAAUAUCUAUAUCACUAUUGGGACUUCUAUACACACAUCCAACUAGCAACUUAUCAUUUUCACAAAAUCCAAUAUAUAUCAAAGUUGACUCCCUGAAAAUGUCGACUAUUUCAUUGGACCACACUUUUGGGUUUAAGUCCCUAUGAAUGUAGAGAAGCGUUCCUUUACCAACAACUAAAUCUAAGUUACAAUGAAACAUUUCAUAUUCGUCAUCAAUAUUGAAUUCGACCAGUGAAAUUGGGAACCUACUAUUUUUUGGUUUUACCUCAGUUAUACCAAUCAUUAAAGGUGUUGGGUCCAUAUCACUUAAAAAUAAUCUGGAGUCUGACAUUUUAUUUGCUAAUGAAUCUGCAUUAGCAUAAAGACAAGGGAUGGAUGACAAACGAUAUAUCACUACGCGUGUUCUAUUCUAUUUGCGUGUGUUCUUCAUGUAGAUGAUGAGUUUGACGUGUGGACAUUCUUAAAUCUAAUUUCAAUUAGCAACAAGUAGAUAAAAUGCUUUAAAAUAAACUAUUAUUCUUAAAAAUACAGUACGUUUACCUCCGAUUCACUGUAUAACAGAAUAUCUAUUAAAGACAUACAUACACAAAAUGAGUGGGCAGUCCAGAUAUCAACCAUCACCAAAUGAAAAGGAUAUAUGCUGCUACUGCCUUAUUGCAAUCGCCUGCUUGGUCAUUGUGGCGAUUGUCAUAGCUUUAUUAGCGCACUUUGCUUAAAGUUCGACUUUUGAAUACACGACAUAAAAUUCUGCAGACGUCAUCAUUGCCAACAUUAAGGAGAUGCUCACUUCCAGACGGACAGUAUUGUUUCCACACCAUAGCUACUUUUGAAUGUGAACGAAAUAUAAACACAAGUGGACAACUUAGGGUCCUGGAGAUAUAUUUUUAAAAAGGAUGAUUAGACUAAUUUCAGGUGUUUAAAGAAAUAUGUACAAUAAACAGCAGAAUACUGAAACAUCAGAAUUCCGUGGGGAAAACAGUGGCUGGAUCUCGAUAGAUAUUUAAAAAGCAAAACAACACUUAAAAUGUAAGCGUAUGUAAACAGCUAGAAAUAGAACCAGAACUUUCUAACAACACUAAGUCAUUCCUUAGAGGGUGGGGGUGGGUGAGGGUAAAAACAACCCCGAUAGGCCUAGUAUAUAUUGGAUGCGACCUUAACGUCUGCAUUGACAGCAGAAUGUCCAGGAUUGAGGAAUUUUUCGCACCCACAGAUUCCUCUUCUUGACAAUGUAGAAAAAGGUGUUUUAAGUGCUUACUUGUAUAUCAUCCCUUGCCUAUGUUUCUGUUAACAAAUUAACUGAAAAAUUUGAAAUAUAUUAAUAGGUGCUUUUAUUUUCGUUUUUUGGAGUUUCCUUUAUUUUUUAGUUCUGUAUUGAUAAUGGAUUAUUUUUAAU